AUCCCGGGCUACUAUCAGAUGUAAAGGGGAGGGGAUUCGCUCGUGUUCCUCCAACCCAAUCAGGAAGAAGCGAAGUCAGUGAAGGGAUGGAACAACAGGAGCACUUUCUUCCUCUCCGCGAGCCGUACAACGGCGUCAUGGAGGGAAAUUUCCCCGUGAUAUGCUCUGGUUAUUCUGCACAUUCACAGAGGCAAUCAGCAGAACAGCUGCUGUCACUAAUGUGGCUGACAUGAGCUGGUUAUGUGGAUGCCCGCCACAGCUUGGGUAUGCAGCCAGCCUGAGGAUCUGAAGAGGCUCCUUUCCAGGGCUCACUCAAGCACCCGUCUGUGUAAAAGUGACAUUCUGUCAGGGCCAAUGACUGUGGUGAGAGACUAACCUAACCUCAAUUUUUGGUCUGUCAAAGAUUGAGUAAUCUAGAAACAAAGUGAAGCAGAACUGUCAACUUGUCAAACAGGGGAAGUUCCUAUUUUAUAUACCUUCAGUUGGCCAUCUUCAGACACAGACUGCUUUGACAAAAACUCACUUCUUCCGUCACCUCGGUACCUCUGUUCCUACUCUCUCUUUAACUUGUAGCUUGCUGUAACACCUAAUUAGGUGUAAGUUCUUUGUCUGUUUUCAUAGCCUGUUUUCUUUGCUGUUUGUAUAAUGUGGUUUCAGGUUUGUGUAACUUGGCUUCAUUUUCAGUAGGGCAGUUGACAGGUUGUCAGUUGGGUCUGCAAUUCUUGGACUUGCUGUCUCUCUUGGGAAUAUGCUUUCACCCUCUGGGAAAUUACUGCACUUUGACCUCUGAUCUUUACACUUGGGUUGCAUUGUAAGUGACUCUGGAGAAGAGAUCUGUGAAAUGCCAGUAUUUGAAUGGGGAUAACCCUGAACUUGUCUUUGCAUGAGCAAUAUAAAUCAAUAUUUUGUUAUAAUCUAUUUUUCUGAUUUAGAUUACUUUGACAGCAAUGGUACCACAUUAGCCACAACUACGCAAAACAGAAAGAGAUGUUAAUGAGGAAUGCUUACUCAAAUUUGCAUACUUGCUAAUCAUGAAAAUCAGGUUCAGCGAUAAUCAGUCUAAAGGGACCAGUCCUCUCUCCCCUAGACUAUGUGUAGCUUACUGGCUGUCACUCCACAAUGUAAGCAUGCUGUUUCGUUUUAUCAGAGCCUGCUUAUGAGCACCAUGUAGUUGCAUUGAUUACUGAAAGAGAAAGUAUAUGCUUACUUAGGCACUAUGAACUGCUGUGCUGUUCCUGUGAUUAUUUGUCUAUCAAUUGAUCUAAUAAGGACAAAAAUUUAUAUGGGACUAUUAACAUUUGCUUACAUGGCCUGGGUAAAAUGUUGGACAGUGUUGGAUUCUCUUUUCCUAUUGGUCUAUAUAUGGUGUUUCACAAUUUAUUAUAUCCCUCCCGUCUAUGAAGUAGAGUGGUAAGGCCACAAUAUCUCUCAUGUUGGUUACUAACGUCAAUGUUACCUGAGUAAAAUAGGGGAAAAGCCCAGAAAGAAGCUAAAUACUGUAAAUGUAUAAAUACAGAAGCUGAUCCUGCUCCAGGAACAGUUUACACUCAAGACAGGCCUUUUUACACCCCCCCCCCCCCCAAAAAAAAAUUAAAUAUAAAUAAAUAAAUAUUAAUAAUAAUGUCCAUUAUUUAAAAAAACAUAAAAUCAAAAAGCAGGGUAAAAAAUGACUGCUUAAAGUAUUUUUAUUCAACCUUUAUGCAAUUCUUUUCUGUUGAAAUAGGGUAUGAUAAUUGUAUUGAACGCAUCACUGGAGAGUAAUAUUCUGACGGUUGACAUGAUUUAGCUUUAAUGUUUCAAGGGACCACAACUCUACAUGCUUAUUGGAGUGUGUUCUUCUGUAAACAGUUCAAAGGUCAGAACUCACAGUAUUUGCCAUGCUGGAUACAGUCUUUACUGUUAGAGCAUAUUGCACAUCUGCUCACAGUUAUUGUGAUCAAACUGGUAUUUUUGGAUUACUGUAUUAUUGCCUCAUCAUUUAUCUGAGGUCCCCACCCUGGGGGGACUGUAGUUUUUUUCUGGACAAUGGAACUACAAUGUGGCUCACUGGACACAGAACAUUGUUACAGAUGUUACUUAGAGCCAACUCACUGACACUGCCUGCACUGCCAAUUAAAAAAAAAAAAAAAAAAAAAAAAA
Molecule: long non-coding RNA, 2139 nt
Organism: Anguilla anguilla (European eel)
Lineage: Eukaryota; Metazoa; Chordata; Actinopteri; Anguilliformes; Anguillidae
Exons: 2
Source: RefSeq, a predicted model, not a curated record